GAUGAACGCUGGCGGCGUGCCUAACACAUGCAAGUCGAACGCUUUGUCUUUACUUGAUCUGAAGUGCUUGCGCUGAUUUGAUUUUAUUUGCUAAAGAGUGGCGAACGAGUGAGUAAUACGUGGGUAACCUACCUCUUAGUAGGGGAUAACAUCUGGAAACAAGUGCUAAUAACGUUUAAAACUAACAACAGCAUGUUUGCCAGUUGAAAGAUGGCUAUGCUAUCACUUAGAGACGGACCCAGGCCGCAUUAGCUAGCUGGUAGGGUAAUGGACUACGAAGGAGACGAUCAGUAACGGGGACGAGAGGAUGAUAGGUAACAGUGGCAAUGAGAUACGGUAAAGACUGCUAAGGGAGGCAGAAGUGGGGAAUAUUGGAAAAUGGGAGAAAGACUGAUACAGCCAUGAAGCGGGUGUGAAGAAGGUCUUCGGAUUGUAAAGCACUUUAAGUUGGGAGGAAGGGAAGUAAGUUCAAACCUAGAUGUUUUGACGUUAACAACAGAAUAAGAACGGGCUAAAUUCGUG
Molecule: ribosomal RNA, 522 nt
Filed under: uncultured bacterium
Lineage: Bacteria
Description: partial 16S ribosomal RNA
Rfam family: Bacterial small subunit ribosomal RNA
Source: RNAcentral